This 1377-nucleotide ribosomal RNA is filed under the name uncultured soil eukaryote. Its description in RNAcentral is "partial small subunit ribosomal RNA". It matches the Rfam family "Eukaryotic small subunit ribosomal RNA", at positions 15 to 1119 of the family's 1831-position model. The record is from RNAcentral.
UGUCAGUCAUAUAUGCUACUCUUAAAGAUUAAAGCCAUGCAAGUGUCAGGAUAGAUCAAUAGAAAAACGAACCUGCGGAUAGCUCAUUAAAACAGUCUUAAAUUUAUCGAUGAUUAAGGAAAAAUCCCUCGUGGAUUUUGAAGUGGAUACCAAAUGUAAUUCAUUUGAUAAUACAUGUGACUUGGAAUGACAGUUCAGGACAUGAGAAUGUGACUGUCAGUAUUUAUUAUUGAUGCGGAUGAUUCACCCAGCUUUUUAUGAAGCUGCACUGGAACUAAUAGGAUAACCUAUAAAUUGACAGAUCUAUGAGAUUAAACGAAUAGACGAAACGAAGGCAAGGCUGAUCCAUCAAAUCAUUCGUGGUAUCUUUGACCACGAAGUUGAUCACGGAUAACGAGAGAUCAGGGUUUGAUUUCGGAGAGAAAGCAUGAGAGUUUGCUUUCACUACCAAGGUAGGCAGCAGGCCCGGAAAUUACUCAAUAUCAAUUCGAUGAAGUAGUGACGAGAAAUAUCAGAAUAGGAAAUUUUAUUUGCUGUGUUUGGAAUGAGUACAAUUUAAAACCAUUAACGAGGAACUAUUAGAGGGCAAGUCUGGUGCCAGCAUCCGCGGUAAUUCCAGCUCUAAGAGCGUAUUUGAAAAUUGUUGCAGUUAAAAAGCCCGUAGUUGAAACUAGACUAAUUUUGAUAUUCGUUGAGAAUUUUAUUCGAGACGGUUUAAUGGAGAGAUAGUCAAAAGUCUAGCAUAUUAUUUGAACGAAUUCUUACCUGAUAACUAAAUUUGACUGGUAGGGAGGAGUGAUUUUAAACUAUAAUGUAAACUUUCUUGUUGGAGGUAAGUUUAAAACUGUAAAAAGGGGAUAAAUGAAUUGAAUAAAAAAGAGGAUUUAUAGGCUGAAUAAAGAAAUUCUAUCUUUAUUUCAGUAUGACUAGAAAAGUUCGCUUUGAACAAAUUAGAAUGCUCAGAAUAGGCUUAUGCCGGAAUACAUUAGCAUGGUACGACGAAAUUGAUUGAUAUAUUUUUGUGUGGAGGUCAAAGAUUGACUGAGAUGAUUGAAAAUUAAUUAGUAUGAAACUGAUGUUUGACUUUGAAAUCAUUUAGAUUUAGACUGGAAUAUAGCUUUAAUGUUUAAUAGGGGUAAAUGGCGUGAUUGUUAUUGAAGGGGUAGAGGUGAAAUUCUAUGAUCCUUUCAAGAACUACUACUGCGAAGGCAUUUCACGAAGAUGCUUUCAUUAAUCAAGGACGAAGGUUAUGGGCGCGAAGAUGAUUAGAUACCGUUGUAGUCAUAACAGUAAACGAUGUUGAUUUAGGAUUAUGAAAAGUUAAUUUGAAGACUUUUGUAGCACUAUGUGAGAAAUCAAAAUAUUUGAACUCUGGGG